UUGGAGGGCAAGUCUGGUGCCAGCAGCCGCGGUAAUUCCAGCUCCAAUAGCGUAUAUUAAAGUUGUUGCAGUUAAAAAGCUCGUAGUUGAAUUUCGGGAUCAGAGUGUCGGUCGUGCCUCGGUACGCACUGGUAUUAUUGGUUCCUACCUUCUGAAGAACCGCGAUGUCAUUAAUUUGGUGUCGCGGGGAAUCAGGACUGUUACUUUGAAAAAAUUAGAGUGUUUAAAGCAGGCUUACGCUUGAAUACAUUAGCAUGGAAUAAUGAAAUAGGACGUUUGAUUCUAUUUUGUUGGUUUCUAGGAUUGACGUAAUGAUUAAUAGGGAUAGUUGGGGGCAUUAGUAUUCAAUUGUCAGAGGUGAAAUUCUUGGAUUUAUUGAAGACUAACUACUGCGAAAGCAUUUGCCAAGGAUGUUUUCAUUAAUCAAGAACGAAAGUUAGGGGAUCGAAGACGAUCAGAUACCGUCGUAGUCUUAACCAUAAACUAUGCCGACUAGGGAUCGGAUGAUGUUAAUUUUUUAAUGACUCAUUCGGCGCCUUACGGGAAAC
Molecule: ribosomal RNA, 548 nt
Filed under: uncultured Glomeromycotina
Lineage: Eukaryota; Fungi; Glomeromycota
Description: SSU rRNA
Rfam family: Eukaryotic small subunit ribosomal RNA
Source: RNAcentral